GAUGAACGCUGGCGGCGUGCCUAAUACAUGCAAGUCGAGCGAACAGACGAGGAGCUUGCUCCUCUGACGUUAGCGGCGGACGGGUGAGUAACACGUGGAUAACCUACCUAUAAGACUGGGAUAACUUCGGGAAACCGGAGCUAAUACCGGAUAAUAUAUUGAACCGCAUGGUUCAAUAGUGAAAGACGGUUUUGCUGUCACUUAUAGAUGGAUCCGCGCCGCAUUAGCUAGUUGGUAAGGUAACGGCUUACCAAGGCGACGAUGCGUAGCCGACCUGAGAGGGUGAUCGGCCACACUGGAACUGAGACACGGUCCAGGCUCCUACGGGAGGCAGCAGUAGGGAAUCUUCCGCAAUGGGCGAAAGCCUGACGGAGCAACGCCGCGUGAGUGAUGAAGGUCUUCGGAUCGUAAAACUCUGUUAUUAGGGAAGAACAAAUGUGUAAGUAACUAUGCACGUCUUGACGGUACCUAAUCAGAAAGCCACGGCUAACUACGUA
This 497-nucleotide ribosomal RNA is filed under the name uncultured bacterium. Its description in RNAcentral is "partial 16S ribosomal RNA". It matches the Rfam family "Bacterial small subunit ribosomal RNA", at positions 28 to 507 of the family's 1533-position model. The record is from RNAcentral.